CUGCCGGCGGGGCGCCCCCGGCCUGAGACUCCCUGGAAGCCUCGUCCGCGAGUCGCGGACUCCGGGCCCGGAGGGCGGCGGGAGGUCCUGCGCUGCGGUGCGGCUAUAGCGCCCGCGCUCCCCGCGGAAGAACCGCCGAGUCGAGCGCUGAAGGUGUGGCCCAGCAGGAGUGUCAGAACGUGCCUAGCCGCUCGAGUCGGAGUCGCCAGAACCCCCGGAAGACGAGCCGUUCACCGGCAGGCCAACUGGGGCUCCUUCGUGUAGUGGACUGUCAGCCAAGCGUCGGGAACGCAGUGUCGUGGGUGUGCGGCUGACCGGGUGAGGAGGAUCUUUCACAGAGACCGUGCCCCUCCGUGGAGUCCAGGAACAGGUGCUGGAGGCGACGGAGGCCGAGGCAGUGGUUCCCUGGGCGGGUGUGGUGAUAGGGCAGGGGGCACUGUGGGCGGGGAUGGGGAUUCGCCCCCGUCUUCAUCUGGGGGUAGUUAAGUGGGUGUCUGCAUUCGUAAAAAUUCUUCACGUUUAUACCCUUAAGAUUAGUGCACUUCACUGCGUUACAAUACACCUCCAAAAAAGUGAAGGUGGUAACACUUCAUCCUUGAGUCCGUAUUUCCCCAUGAGCUCCAAAAUCACGCCACCAAGUUUUAGUGUAAAUUCUCUGCUUUUGUUAUAAUCGAAUCUCCUUUUUUUUUAGCUUGUUUUUGUUUUUUGUUUCUGGCUGCCCCUGCAGCAUGUGGAAAUUCCCUGGCCAGGGACGGAACCUGGCCCGUGACCCACACCACAGCACAACGCGGGAUUCGAGCCGAAUCUGUGACCUACACCACAGCUCAUGGCAACACCGGAUCCUUAACCCACUCAGCAAGGCCAGGGAUCGAACCCACAACCUCAUGGUUCCCAGUUGGAUUCGUUAACCACUGAGCCACGACGGGAACUCCUGAAAUCAAUUUUUUAAGAAAACGUGAAUAUAGAGAAUACCACUUGAGGCCAUGUUAGUCCCAUGGACAGUGGGAAAUCCCUUUUGAGGCAGAUACCCCACUGUGUCACUUAUUUUUCAACUGGCCAGCUCCUACCCAUCCUUCUACACUUAGAUAAGGCGUUUUCGGAUCCCUCCACCGCAACCGUCUGGACGGGGGCGGGGCAAGAGAUGUCAGAGUGUCUUCAGCCACCGGACCUGCCUUUAUCUCUGCAGGGUCACGUUAGAGUCAUCUCUCAGUAUCCUCGGGGCGCUGGUCCCGGACACCCUGUAGACACCAGCCCCCAGGCGCUCAUGCCCCUUAUAUAAAAUGACGUAUACACAUCUUCCUGUAUACUUUUUUUUUUUCCGUCUUUUUGGGGCUGCACCCGCAGCAUGUGGAAGUUCCCAGGGUAGGGGUUGAACGGGAGCUGUAGCUGCUGGCCGACGCCACAGCCCUAGCAAUGCAGGAUCUGAGCAGUGUCUGUGACCUUCACCACAGCUCACAGCAACACUGGAUCCUUUAACCCACAGAGCGAGGCCAGGGAUUGAACCCAAGUCUUCACGGAUACUAGUCGGGUUCAUUACCACUAAGCCACAAUGGGAACUCCCCUGUGUACUUCAAAUCAUCUCUAGCUUAUUUAUUCCUUUCUUUUUGGUCUCUCUCUCUCUCUCUCUCUUUUUUUUUUUUUUNCAUAUGGACGUUCCCAGGCUAGAGGUCAAAUCAGAGGUACAGCUGCCGGCCUACGUCACAGCCACGGCACCUCAGGAUCUGAGCUGCAUCUGUGACCUACAUCACAGCUCACAGCAACACCGGAUCUUUAACCCACUGAGCAAGGCCAGGCCUCGAACCUGCAUCCUCAGGGAUACUAGUCGCCUUUGUUAACCACUGAGCCAUGAUGGGAACUCAUAUAAUUCCUGAUACAAUGUAAAGGCCAUGUAAAUAGUUGGCAGCACAGGACAAAUUCAAGUUUUGUUUUUUGGAAAUUCGUUUCAAAUAUUUUCCACCCAAAGUUGGUUCAAUCCAUGGAUGAGGUACCCAUGGUUAUGAAGAGAUGACUGUACUAUAAUUACCUGCUCAUGUGGCUGUUUAUCCCACUACUGUGAGGGAUUCUUUUUUUCCUUUUUGGCCACCCCUUGCCAUGUGGAAGUUCCCCAGCCCGUGCCACAGCAGCGGCAAUGCCAAAUCCUUAACCCAUUCAGCCCCAGGGAGCUCCCACUGUGGGAUUCUUAACAUAGGGUAUUGUCUUAAUCAUCUCAAUGCCCAGCCACUCUCAGGUCAAUUACUAAUGUUUCCUUGACAGUCGUGUACUAAGAGCUGGGCAUGUUUCACCACUGAUUCCUUGCCGUAAGCCUUUAAUGUAGGCGCUGAGUUGGUGUCACACCACUUUCAACAGAUAAGUGAUCCUCUCCAGGUGACACAGGUAGUAAAUGGUGGAGCCAGUCUCAGGUUUAGCCGUCCUGCCUUCUUUUCUGAGUCCAUGAAGGAAUGGAAAGUCUAGACACAGCUGACGCUGUGGGUCCUGAGCAAGUUCCCUUUCCCAGGCUUAGUUGUAUCACGUUUCGUCAUCUCUUUUUAAGUUUUAGUCAUAUUUUAUUUUUGUUUUUGUCCUUUUAGGGCCGCGCCUGCAGCAUAGGGAAGUUCCCAGGAUGGGGUCUAAUCAAGAGCUGUAGCCACCGGCCUAUGCCACAGCCACAGCCACCUGGGAUCCGAGCCGCGUCUUCAACCUACACCGCAGCUCACAGCAACACUGGAUUCCCAAGCCACUGGGCGAGGCCAGGGAUCAAACCCACAACUUCAUGGUUCCUAGUCGAAUAUGUUUCUGCUGCACCAUGAUGGGAACUCCUGUACCCUUGUCUUUAAGAGAUAAAACCUCCUUAGAAGAUUAGAAAGGCGGACUCUUCUUCCCCUUCCCAGUGUCCGUGCCGGCAGCUAUUUGCUUUCCUGUAAUAAAGACUUGCUUGCUCGCGG
RNAcentral lists this long non-coding RNA (2921 nucleotides) under Sus scrofa (pig). Its description in RNAcentral is "lncRNA (ENSSSCG00030037505.1)". The record is from RNAcentral. Lineage: Eukaryota; Metazoa; Chordata; Mammalia; Artiodactyla; Suidae.